Molecule: unclassified non-coding RNA, 207 nt
Filed under: uncultured Strophariaceae
Lineage: Eukaryota; Fungi; Basidiomycota; Agaricomycetes; Agaricales; Strophariaceae
Description: sequence contains ITS2
Source: RNAcentral
AAUUCUCAACCUUUAUCAACUUUUUUGUUGAUAGUGGCUUGGAUAUGGGGGUAAUUUGCUGGCUUCUUUAUUGAGGUCAGCUCCCCUUAAAUGUAUUAGCUGGUGCCUUGAGUGGACUUGUCUAUCGGUGUGAUAAUUAUCUACGCUGUGGAUUGUUCUAGCAUGCACUGCUUCAAACUGUCUGUUCAUUCAGACAAUACUAUGACA